This 24-nucleotide ribosomal RNA is filed under the name Aspergillus aculeatus. RNAcentral describes it as "partial 28S ribosomal RNA". Lineage: Eukaryota; Fungi; Ascomycota; Eurotiomycetes; Eurotiales; Aspergillaceae. The record is from RNAcentral.
UCAGGGUAAGGAAACCCAAUUUUC